RNAcentral lists this ribosomal RNA (258 nucleotides) under uncultured bacterium. Its description in RNAcentral is "partial 16S ribosomal RNA". It matches the Rfam family "Bacterial small subunit ribosomal RNA", at positions 524 to 776 of the family's 1533-position model. The record is from RNAcentral.
UACAGAGGUCCCGAGCGUUGUUCGGAUUCAUUGGGCGUAAAGGGCGCGUAGGCGGCCCUGGUAAGCCGGGUGUGAAAGCUGGGGGCUCAACCCCCAAAGGGCACUCGGGACUGCCGGGCUAGAUAGAGGGCCGGCGAGGAGAUCGGAAUUCACGGUGUAGCAGUGAAAUGCGUAGAGAUCGUGAGGAAGACCGGUGGCGAAGGCGGAUCUCUGGACGGCGCCUGACGCUGAGGCGCGAAGGCUAGGGGAGCAAACGGG